RNAcentral lists this ribosomal RNA (217 nucleotides) under uncultured bacterium. Its description in RNAcentral is "partial 16S ribosomal RNA". It matches the Rfam family "Bacterial small subunit ribosomal RNA", at positions 328 to 539 of the family's 1533-position model. The record is from RNAcentral.
ACGCUCGACACCUACGGGAGGCAGCAGUGAGGAAUAUUGGUCAAUGGACGCAAGUCUGAACCAGCCAUGCCGCGUGCAGGAUGACGGCUCUAUGAGUUGUAAACUGCUUUUGUACGAGGGUAAACGCAGAUACGUGUAUCUGUCUGAAAGUAUCGUACGAAUAAGGAUCGGCUAACUCCGUGCAAGCAGCCGGGUAAUCUGAGCGGGCUGGCAAGGC